Molecule: ribosomal RNA, 301 nt
Filed under: uncultured bacterium
Lineage: Bacteria
Description: partial 16S ribosomal RNA
Rfam family: Bacterial small subunit ribosomal RNA
Source: RNAcentral
CAGCCGCCACGGGAAUACGGAGGGUGCAAGCGUUAAUCGGAAUUACUGGGCGUAAAGCGCACCCAGGCGGUCUGUCAAGUCAGAUGUGAAAUCCCCGGGCUUAACCUGGGAACUGCAUUUGAAACUGGCAGGCUAGAGUCUUGUAGAGGGGGGUAGAAUUCCAGGUGUAGCGGUGAAAUGCGUAGAGAUCUGGAGGAAUACCGGUGGCGAAGGCGGCCCCCUGGACAAAGACUGACGCUCAGGUGCGAAAGCGUGGGGAGCAAACAGGAUUAGAUACCCCUGUAGUCCCUGUCUCUUAUAC